Molecule: long non-coding RNA, 221 nt
Filed under: Lathyrus oleraceus (garden pea)
Lineage: Eukaryota; Viridiplantae; Streptophyta; Magnoliopsida; Fabales; Fabaceae
Description: Pisum sativum (pea) long non-coding RNA (PSAT_LNC016737)
Source: RNAcentral
GCUUUUUAAGCGAUCCAAGUUUGUUUUAGGCCCAAAAUUAUAGUUUUAAUAUUUUUCAUAAAUUUCUAUUUUGUUUCUUUCUUUUUUUUAUUAAAAGCACAUUAGGGUUUCUUUCUUUAUAUUUUAUUUUUGUUUUGAAUUAAAAGUCCAUUAGGGUUUAUUUUUCUGUAUUUAAACACUCUUGUGAGUGGCUGUCAUGAGUAUCUUUGAUUUAAUAAAAU